GCCGAGGUAGCCAAGGUGGUCACGGCAGGCGCCUGAAGAGCGUCGGAUGUCGGUUCGAUUCCGACCCUCGGCACCA
Molecule: transfer RNA, 76 nt
Filed under: Candidatus Saccharimonadota bacterium
Lineage: Bacteria; Candidatus Saccharimonadota
Description: tRNA-Phe
Rfam family: tRNA
About the family: Transfer RNA (tRNA) molecules are approximately 80 nucleotides in length.
Source: RNAcentral